This 454-nucleotide ribosomal RNA is filed under the name uncultured bacterium. RNAcentral describes it as "SSU rRNA". It matches the Rfam family "Bacterial small subunit ribosomal RNA", at positions 26 to 470 of the family's 1533-position model. The record is from RNAcentral.
AGAACGAACGCUGGCGGCGUGGAUAAGACAUGCAAGUCGAACGCGACUUAUUUUGUUAGCAAUAACAGAGUAAGUUGAGUGGCGAAAGGGUGCGUAACACGUGGGAAUUUACCAAGAAGUGGGGAAUAGCUCGGCGAAAGCCGAAUUAAUACCGCAUGUGGUCGCAAGACCAAAGCCGGGGACCGCAAGGCCUGGCGCUUUUUGAGAAGCCCGCGGCCCAUCAGCUAGUUGGUGAGGUAAUGGCUCACCAAGGCUAUGACGGGUAGCUGGUCUGAGAGGACGACCAGCCACACUGGAACUGAGACACGGUCCAGACACCUACGGGUGGCAGCAGUCGAGAAUUUUUCACAAUGGACGAAAGUCUGAUGGAGCGACGCCGCGUGGAGGAUGAAGGUUCUUGGAUUGUAAACUCCUGUCACUGCAGAACAAGGGUAGCCGGUUGAUAUUCCGGCUA